UAUAGUAUUUAAAGUAGUCUUCAAGUAUAGUCGGCCAAUAAUAUCCAUUGUUUCUAAUGAUCCACUUCAUCUUGAAAGCCGAUUGAUGAGCUCCGCAAACCCCUUCAUGAAUUUUGCCCAUCAGAUUCUUGGCUUCUUCAGCCCCGAGGCAUUUAAGCAGGACCCCAUCAACCGUCUGAUAAUAAAGGUCAUCUUGAAGCAACACAUAUUUAAAAGCGUGAAAUCGAACUCGCCUAUUGACCUUCUUGGAGGGAUCUUUUAAGUAAUCCGCUAUUUCUUUCCUCC
RNAcentral lists this long non-coding RNA (285 nucleotides) under Setaria viridis. RNAcentral's name for it is "long non-coding RNA (SVIR_LNC003043)". Lineage: Eukaryota; Viridiplantae; Streptophyta; Magnoliopsida; Poales; Poaceae. The record is from RNAcentral.